AGUGAACGCUGGCGGUAGGCCUAACACAUGCAAGUCGAACGGCAGCACAGUAAGAGCUUGCUCUUACGGGUGGCGAGUGGCGGACGGGUGAGGAAUACAUCGGAAUCUACUUUUUCGGGGGGGAUAACGUAGGGAAACUUACGCUAAUACCGCAUACGACCUACGGGUGAAAGCAGGGGAUCUUCGGACCUUGCGCGAUUGAAUGAGCCGAUGUCGGAUUAGCUAGUUGGCGGGGUAAAGGCCCACCAAGGCGACGAUCCGUAGCUGGUCUGAGAGGAUGAUCAGCCACACUGGAACUGAGACACGGUCCAGACUCCUACGGGAGGCAGCAGUGGGGAAUAUUGGACAAUGGGCGCAAGCCUGAUCCAGCCAUACCGCGUGGGUGAAGAAGGCCUUCGGGUUGUAAAGCCCUUUUGUUGGGAAAGAAAAGCAGCAGGUUAAUACCCCGCUGUUCUGACGGUACCCAAAGAAUAAGCCCCGGCUAACUUCGUG
RNAcentral lists this ribosomal RNA (492 nucleotides) under uncultured bacterium. Its description in RNAcentral is "partial 16S ribosomal RNA". It matches the Rfam family "Bacterial small subunit ribosomal RNA", at positions 29 to 507 of the family's 1533-position model. The record is from RNAcentral.